AGAUUGAACGCUGGCGGCAUGCCUUACACAUGCAAGUCGAACGGCAGCACGGACUUCGGUCUGGUGGCGAGUGGCGAACGGGUGAGUAAUAUAUCGGAACGUACCCUAGAGUGGGGGAUAACGCAGCGAAAGUUGCGCUAAUACCGCAUACGAUCUACGGAUGAAAGUGGGGGCUCGCAAGACCUCAUGCUCGUGGAGCGGCCGAUAUCUGAUUAGCUAGUUGGUAGGGUAAAAGCCUACCAAGGCCUCGAUCAGUAGCUGGUCUGAGAGGACGACCAGCCACACUGGGACUGAGACACGGCCCAGACUCCUACGGGAGGCAGCAGGUGGGGAAUUUUGGACAAGUGGGGGCACCCUGAUCCAGCAAUGCGCGUGAGUGAAGAGGCCUCGGUUGUAAGUCUCUUUGUCAGGAAGAACGGUAGAAGCUAAUAUCCUUAGUCUAAUCGACGUACCGUAGAAGAAUAAGACACCGCUAACGUACGUACG
Molecule: ribosomal RNA, 486 nt
Filed under: uncultured soil bacterium
Lineage: Bacteria
Description: bacterial SSU rRNA
Rfam family: Bacterial small subunit ribosomal RNA
Source: RNAcentral